This 70-nucleotide transfer RNA is filed under the name Goniurosaurus araneus. RNAcentral describes it as "tRNA-Gln". It matches the Rfam family "tRNA". From Rfam's summary of the family: Transfer RNA (tRNA) molecules are approximately 80 nucleotides in length. Their secondary structure includes four short double-helical elements and three loops (D, anti-codon, and T loops). Further hydrogen bonds mediate the characteristic L-shaped molecular structure. tRNAs have two regions of fundamental functional importance: the anti-codon, which is responsible for specific mRNA codon recognition, and the 3' end, to which the tRNAs corresponding amino acid is attached (by aminoacyl-tRNA synthetases). tRNAs cope with the degeneracy of the genetic code in two manners: having more than one tRNA (with a specific anti-codon) for a particular amino acid; and 'wobble' base-pairing, i.e. permitting non-standard base-pairing at the 3rd anti-codon position. Lineage: Eukaryota; Metazoa; Chordata; Lepidosauria; Squamata; Eublepharidae. The record is from RNAcentral.
AAAAGAUAGCAUAUAGGUAGUGCGUAAGGUUUUGAUCCUUAGUGGUGCAGGUUCGUAUCCUGUUCUUUUA